RNAcentral lists this long non-coding RNA (217 nucleotides) under Carica papaya (papaya). RNAcentral describes it as "long non-coding RNA (CPAP_LNC003495)". The record is from RNAcentral. Lineage: Eukaryota; Viridiplantae; Streptophyta; Magnoliopsida; Brassicales; Caricaceae.
GCGAGGGGGUCUGGUGGCUAGGGUUAGGGUUUGGUGUGGAUAGGAGUUAUUUAUAUUCGUCUGCUUUUAAUCUGGACCUUCCAUCACUUUUGAUAUGGACCGUCUGAUUGCAAUUAAAUAGGGAGUUAAUCUGGACGGUUCAUCGCGAUCCAAUCUGGACUAUCCAUCGCGAUAUAAUCUAGACCGUUUGAUCGCGUUCAAAUCUAACCAUCCGAUC